RNAcentral lists this transfer RNA (75 nucleotides) under Candidatus Bathyarchaeota archaeon. Its description in RNAcentral is "tRNA-Pro". It matches the Rfam family "tRNA". Rfam says of the family: Transfer RNA (tRNA) molecules are approximately 80 nucleotides in length. RNAcentral also lists the same sequence under 2 other names. The record is from RNAcentral. Lineage: Archaea; Thermoproteati; Candidatus Bathyarchaeota.
GGGGCCGUAGUCCAGCUAGGUUAGGAUACGCGGCUUGGGCCCGCGUGGUCGCCGGUUCAAAUCCGGCCGGCCCCA